UCCCUGGUGGCCUAGUGGUUAAGGAUCCAGUAUUGUCAAUGCUGUGGUGCAGGUUCGAUCCCUGGCCUGGGAA
Non-coding RNA from Sus scrofa (pig), 73 nucleotides. The record is from Rfam. Lineage: Eukaryota; Metazoa; Chordata; Mammalia; Artiodactyla; Suidae.